UGUGAUGGGGAGCGAAAUUUAGUAGCGAAGUAGCUGAUUUCACACUGUCAAGAAAAGUCUCUAUCGAGGUUAAAGGUACCCGUACCGCAAACCGACACAGGUGGGUGAGGAGAGUAUCCUAAGGCCAGCGAGAGAACUGUUGUUAAGGAACUCGGCAAAAUGACCCCGUAACUUAGGGAUAAGGGGUGCCACCAUCAGGUGGCCGCAGAGAAUAGGCCCAAGCGACUGUUUACCAAAAACAUAGGUUUCUGCUAAGUCGCAAGACGAUGUAUAGGAGCUGACGCCUGCCCGGUGCUGGAAGGUUAAGGGGAUCUGUUAGAGCAAUCGAAGCAGUGAACUUAAGCCCCAGUAAACGGCGGCCGUAACUAUAACGGUCCUAAGGUAGCGAAAUUCCUUGUCGGGUAAGUUCCGACCCGAACGAAAGGCGUAACGAUUUGGGCACUGUCUCAACAACAGACUCGGUGAAAUUGUAAUUCCGGUGAAGAUGCCGGAUACCUGCGACAGGACGGAAAGACCCCAUGGAGCUUUACUGUAGCUUGACAUUGGGUCUUGGUACUACAUGUACAGGAUAGGU
RNAcentral lists this ribosomal RNA (574 nucleotides) under Clostridioides difficile. Its description in RNAcentral is "partial 23S ribosomal RNA". It matches the Rfam family "Bacterial large subunit ribosomal RNA", at positions 1562 to 2148 of the family's 2925-position model. Lineage: Bacteria; Bacillati; Bacillota; Clostridia; Peptostreptococcales; Peptostreptococcaceae. The record is from RNAcentral.